Molecule: ribosomal RNA, 769 nt
Filed under: uncultured bacterium
Lineage: Bacteria
Description: bacterial SSU rRNA
Rfam family: Bacterial small subunit ribosomal RNA
Source: RNAcentral
AGAGUUUGAUCCUGGCUCAGAAUGAACGCUGGCGGCGUGCUUAACACAUGCAAGUCGGAUGUGCCGCAAGGUGCAUGGCAGACGGGUGAGUAACGCGUAGGGAACCUACCUCUUUGUGGGGAAUAACGUUCCGAAAGGAAUGGUAAUACCGCAUGAGAUCCACGACUGGGAUGUUGUGGAUGAAAGCCGGGGAUCGAAAGACCUGGCGCAAGGAGAGGGUCCUGCGUCUGAUUAGCUAGUUGGUGGGGUAACGGCCUACCAAGGCGACGAUCAGUAGCCGGCCUGAGAGGGUGAUCGGCCACACUGGAACUGAGACACGGCCCAGACUCCUACGGGAGGCAGCAGUGGGGAAUAUUGGACAAUGGGGGCAACCCUGAUCCAGCAAUGCCGCGUGAGUGAUGAAGGCCUUAGGGAUGUAAAGCUCUUUUACCGGGGACGAUGAUGACGGUACCCGGAGAAUAAGCCCCGGCUAACUUCGUGCCAGCAGCCGCGGUAAUACGAAGGGGGCGAGCGUUGUUCGGAGUUACUGGGCGUAAAGGGCGCGUAGGCGGCGCUCCAAGUUAGGCGUGAAAGCCCCGGGCUCAACCUGGGAAUAGCGCUUAAGACUGGAGUGCUUGAGUGCGGGAGAGGUGAGUGGAAUUCCCAGUGUAGAGGUGAAAUUCGUAGAUAUUGGGAAGAACACCAGUGGCGAAGGCGGCUCACUGGCCCGCAACUGGCGCUGAGGCGCGAAAGCGUGGGGAGCAAACAGGAUUAGAUACCCUGGUAGUCC